Molecule: ribosomal RNA, 402 nt
Filed under: uncultured bacterium
Lineage: Bacteria
Description: bacterial SSU rRNA
Rfam family: Bacterial small subunit ribosomal RNA
Source: RNAcentral
GGAGGAAUCUUGGUCAAUGGGCGCAAGCCUGAACCAGCGACGCCGCGUGGAGGAUGAAGGCCCUCGGGUCGUAAACUCCUUUUGGGUGGGAAGAAGAUCUGACGGUACCACCCGAAUAAGCCACGGCUAACUACGUGCCAGCAGCCGCGGUAAUACGUAAGUGGCGAGCGUUAUCCGGAAUCACCGGGCGUAAAGCGUUCGUAGGCGGCGUGGUAAGUCGGAUUUGAAAUCCCGGGGCUCAACUCCGGAACUGGAUCCGAAACUACCAUGCUUGAGCGUGUCAGAGGAUAGCGGAAUUCCCGGUGUAGCGGUAAUAUGCGUAGAUAUCGGGAGGAACACCUGUGGCGAAAGCGGCUAUCUGGGGCAUUGCUGACGCUGAGGAACGAAAGCCAGGGGAGCGAA